This 521-nucleotide ribosomal RNA is filed under the name uncultured bacterium. Its description in RNAcentral is "bacterial SSU rRNA". It matches the Rfam family "Bacterial small subunit ribosomal RNA", at positions 1 to 523 of the family's 1533-position model. The record is from RNAcentral.
UAGAGUUUGAUCCUGGCUCAGAUUGAACGCUAGCGGGAUGCCUUACACAUGCAAGUCGAACGGCAGCACGGACUUCGGUCUGGCGGCGAGUGGCGAACGGGUGAGUAAUGUAUCGGAACGUGCCCAGUAGCGGGGGAUAACUACGCGAAAGCGUAGCUAAUACCGCAUACGCCCUACGGGGGAAAGCAGGGGAUCGCAAGACCUUGCACUAUUGGAGCGGCCGAUAUCGGAUUAGCUAGUUGGUGGGGUAACGGCUCACCAAGGCGACGAUCCGUAGCUGGUUUGAGAGGACGACCAGCCACACUGGGACUGAGACACGGCCCAGACUCCUACGGGAGGCAGCAGUGGGGAAUUUUGGACAAUGGGGGAAACCCUGAUCCAGCCAUCCCGCGUGUGCGAUGAAGGCCUUCGGGUUGUAAAGCACUUUUGGCAGGAAAGAAACGCCAUGGGUUAAUACCCCGUGAAACUGACGGUACCUGCAGAAUAAGCACCGGCUAACUACGUGCCAGCAGCCGCGGUAA